Molecule: ribosomal RNA, 241 nt
Filed under: uncultured bacterium
Lineage: Bacteria
Description: partial 16S ribosomal RNA
Rfam family: Bacterial small subunit ribosomal RNA
Source: RNAcentral
AAGCGUUGUCCGGAAUCAUUGGGCGUAAAGCGCUCGUAGGCGGACUUUUAAGUCGGCGAAGAAAGACCUGGGCUCAACUCAGGGAACGGCGUCGAUACCAUUGGUCUUGAGGUAAUUAGAGGAUGAUGGGAUUCCCGGUGUAGCGGUGAAAUGCGUAGAUAUCGGGAGGAACACCAGUGGCGAAGGCGAUCAUCUGGGAUUAACCUGACGCUGAGGAGCGAAAGCCAGGGGAGCAAACGGG